Molecule: ribosomal RNA, 405 nt
Filed under: uncultured bacterium
Lineage: Bacteria
Description: bacterial SSU rRNA
Rfam family: Bacterial small subunit ribosomal RNA
Source: RNAcentral
UGGGAAUAUUGGAUAAUGGGGGAAACCCUGAUCCAGCAAUGCCGCGUGAAUGAUGAAGGCCUUCGGGUCGUAAAGUUCUUUAGCAGGGAAGAAGGGAAACUUGACUGUACCUGCAGAAAAAGCACCGGCUAACUCCGUGCCAGCAGCCGCGGUAAUACGGAGGGUGCAAGCGUUGUUCGGAAUUAUUGGGCGUAAAGCGCGUGUAGGCGGCUUGAUAAGUCUGGUGUGAAAGCCCGAGGCUUAACCUCGGAAGUGCACUGGAUACUAUCUAGCUAGAGGGUCGGAGAGGGAAGCGGAAUUCUUGGUGUAGGGGUGAAAUCCGUAGAUAUCAAGAGGAACACCGAUGGCGAAGGCAGCUUCCUGGCCGACAUCUGACGCUGAGACGCGAAAGCGUGGGUAGCAAAC